RNAcentral lists this ribosomal RNA (489 nucleotides) under uncultured bacterium. RNAcentral describes it as "partial 16S ribosomal RNA". It matches the Rfam family "Bacterial small subunit ribosomal RNA", at positions 28 to 507 of the family's 1533-position model. The record is from RNAcentral.
GAUGAACGCUAGCGGCAGGCUUAAUACAUGCAAGUCGAGGGGCAGCAGGCCUGUAGCAAUGCAGUUGCUGGCGACAGGGAAACGUGUGCGGAACACGUACGCAACUUACCCUGAACUGGGGGAUAGCCCGGGGAAACCCGGAUUAAUACCCCGCAAUAUAAUGGGUUGGCAUCACUUUGUUAUUAAAGCUCCGGCGGUUCGGGCUGGGCGUGCGGCUGAUUAGGUGGUUGGUUGUGGUAACGGCGGACCGAGCCUACGAUCAGUAACUGGUGUGAGAGCACGAGCAGUCAAGCGUGGACUGAGACACUGGCCCUGCGACUACGGGCGGCAGCAGUAGGGAGGAAUGAGUAAUGGAGGCAACUCUGACCCAGCCAGGCCGAGUGGAGGAUGACGGCUCUCGGGUGUGUAAACUUCGGUUGUAGGGGACGAAACCUGUGUAUUCUGACGCAGUUGACGGUACCUAAGGAAGAAGCACCGGCUAACUACGUG